GACGAACGCUGGCGGCGUGCUUAACACAUGCAAGUCGAACGGAAAGGCCCUGCUUUUGUGGGGUGCUCGAGUGGCGAACGGGUGAGUAACACGUGAGUAACCUUCCCUGUACUUUGGGAUAACUUCAGGAAACUGGUGCUAAUACCUGAUAGGAGCUCCUGCUGCAUGGUGGUGGUUGGAAAGUUUCGGCGGUUGGGGAUGGACUCGCGGCUUAUCAGCUUGUUGGUGGGGUAGUGGCUUACCAAGGCUUUGACGGGUAGCCGGCCUGAGAGGGUGAACGGCCACAUUGGGACUGAGAUACGGACCAGACUCCUACGGGAGGCAGCAGUGGGGAAUAUUGCACAAUGGGCGGAAGCCUGAUGCAGCAACGCCGCGUGCGGGAUGACGGCCUUCGGGUUGUAAACCGCUUUCGCCUGUGACGAAGCGUGAGUGACGGUAAUGGGUAAAGAAGCACCGGCUAACUACGUG
Molecule: ribosomal RNA, 468 nt
Filed under: uncultured bacterium
Lineage: Bacteria
Description: partial 16S ribosomal RNA
Rfam family: Bacterial small subunit ribosomal RNA
Source: RNAcentral